Molecule: ribosomal RNA, 493 nt
Filed under: Staphylococcus aureus
Lineage: Bacteria; Bacillati; Bacillota; Bacilli; Caryophanales; Staphylococcaceae
Description: bacterial SSU rRNA
Rfam family: Bacterial small subunit ribosomal RNA
Source: RNAcentral
AAAAGUGAAAGACGGUCUUGCUGUCACUUAUAGAUGGAUCCGCGCUGCAUUAGCUAGUUGGUAAGGUAACGGCUUACCAAGGCAACGAUGCAUAGCCGACCUGAGAGGGUGAUCGGCCACACUGGAACUGAGACACGGUCCAGACUCCUACGGGAGGCAGCAGUAGGGAAUCUUCCGCAAUGGGCGAAAGCCUGACGGAGCAACGCCGCGUGAGUGAUGAAGGUCUUCGGAUCGUAAAACUCUGUUAUUAGGGAAGAACAUAUGUGUAAGUAACUGUGCACAUCUUGACGGUACCUAAUCAGAAAGCCACGGCUAACUACGUGCCAGCAGCCGCGGUAAUACGUAGGUGGCAAGCGUUAUCCGGAAUUAUUGGGCGUAAAGCGCGCGUAGGCGGUUUUUUAAGUCUGAUGUGAAAGCCCACGGCUCAACCGUGGAGGGUCAUUGGAAACUGGAAAACUUGAGUGCAGAAGAGGAAAGUGGAAUUCCAUGUGUA